RNAcentral lists this ribosomal RNA (495 nucleotides) under uncultured bacterium. Its description in RNAcentral is "partial 16S ribosomal RNA". It matches the Rfam family "Bacterial small subunit ribosomal RNA", at positions 28 to 507 of the family's 1533-position model. The record is from RNAcentral.
GACGAACGCUGGCGGCGUGCCUAAUACAUGCAAGUAGAACGCUGAAGGAGGAGCUUGCUUCUCUGGAUGAGUUGCGAACGGGUGAGUAACGCGUAGGUAACCUGCCUGGUAGCGGGGGAUAACUAUUGGAAACGAUAGCUAAUACCGCAUAAUAGUAGAUGUUGCAUGACAUUUGCUUAAAAGGUGCAAUUGCAUCACUACCAGAUGGACCUGCGUUGUAUUAGCUAGUUGGUGGGGUAACGGCUCACCAAGGCGACGAUACAUAGCCGACCUGAGAGGGGGAUCGGCCACACUGGGACUGAGACACGGCCCAGACUCCUACGGGAGGCAGCAGUAGGGAAUCUUCGGCAAGGGACGGAAGUCUGACCGAGAAACGCCGCGUGAGUGAAGAAGGUUUUCGGAUCGUAAAGCUCUGUUGUAAGAGAAGAACGAGUGUGAGAGUGGAAAGUUCACACUGUGACGGUAUCUUACCAGAAAGGGACGGCUAACUACGUG